This 90-nucleotide transfer RNA is filed under the name Limisphaera ngatamarikiensis. RNAcentral's name for it is "tRNA-Ser". It matches the Rfam family "tRNA". From Rfam's summary of the family: Transfer RNA (tRNA) molecules are approximately 80 nucleotides in length. Their secondary structure includes four short double-helical elements and three loops (D, anti-codon, and T loops). The record is from RNAcentral. RNAcentral also lists the same sequence under 5 other names. Lineage: Bacteria; Pseudomonadati; Verrucomicrobiota; Verrucomicrobiia; Limisphaerales; Limisphaeraceae.
GGAAGGGUGGCUGAGUGGUUUAAGGCACCUGACUCGAAAUCAGGCGUAGCCGCAAGGCUACCGUGGGUUCGAAUCCCACCCCUUCCGCCA